Molecule: transfer RNA, 82 nt
Filed under: Canis lupus familiaris (dog)
Lineage: Eukaryota; Metazoa; Chordata; Mammalia; Carnivora; Canidae
Also listed under: 1 other name
Rfam family: tRNA
About the family: Transfer RNA (tRNA) molecules are approximately 80 nucleotides in length. Their secondary structure includes four short double-helical elements and three loops (D, anti-codon, and T loops).
Source: Rfam by way of RNAcentral
GCCUGGGUGGCUCAGUGGUUGAGCAUCUGCCUUUGGCUCAGGGAGUGAUCUCGAGACCUGGGAUCAAGUCCCAUAUCAGGCU